GUUCAUUAUCUCUUCUUCUUGUUCGUUGUUAGCUUCAUUAUUAGUUACACCUUUUGUCCCACGUAGGCCCCUAUCAGUUGUACUAGAAAUUUGGGUUACAACUGAUUGCCCUCCUUCACUUUGACCCAUGGAUUGAGUGGAGUGUACAUAGAUAUCAAUCCACUUCGUACCUUCAUAACAAGCUAACAUCUCCAUACAAUCUUUAUCAUUUCUAAGGGGCCUAACACCAAUCUGAAUUGGUUUGUGUGGC
RNAcentral lists this long non-coding RNA (250 nucleotides) under Elaeis guineensis (African oil palm). RNAcentral describes it as "long non-coding RNA (EGUI_LNC056585)". The record is from RNAcentral. Lineage: Eukaryota; Viridiplantae; Streptophyta; Magnoliopsida; Arecales; Arecaceae.